GCCAGACUCCUACGGGAGGCAGCAGUGGGGAAUAUUGGGCAAUGGGCGCAAGCCUGACCCAGCAACGCCGCGUGAAGGAAGAAGGCUUUCGGGUUGUAAACUUCUUUUCUCAGGGACGAAGCAAGUGACGGUACCUGAGGAAUAAGCCACGGCUAACUACGUGCCAGCAGCCGCGGUAAUACGUAGGUGGCAAGCGUUAUCCGGAUUUACUGGGUGUAAAGGGCGUGUAGGCGGGAAAGCAAGUCAGAUGUGAAAACCAUGGGCUCAACCUGUGGCCUGCAUUUGAAACUGUUUUUCUUGAGUACUGGGGAGGCAGACGGAAUUCCUAGUGUAGCGGUGAAAUGCGUAGAUAUUAGGAAGAACACCAGUGGCGAAGGCGGGUUACUGGACGACAACUGACGGUGAGGCGCGACAUCGUGGGGAGCCAACAUGAUUAGAUACCCCAGUA
This 448-nucleotide ribosomal RNA is filed under the name uncultured bacterium. Its description in RNAcentral is "bacterial SSU rRNA". It matches the Rfam family "Bacterial small subunit ribosomal RNA", at positions 330 to 792 of the family's 1533-position model. The record is from RNAcentral.